RNAcentral lists this ribosomal RNA (497 nucleotides) under uncultured bacterium. RNAcentral's name for it is "partial 16S ribosomal RNA". It matches the Rfam family "Bacterial small subunit ribosomal RNA", at positions 28 to 507 of the family's 1533-position model. The record is from RNAcentral.
GACGAACGCUGGCGGCGUGCCUAAUACAUGCAAGUUGAGCGCUGAAGGUUGGUACUUGUACCAACUGGAUGAGCAGCGAACGGGUGAGUAACGCGUGGGGAAUCUGCCUUUGAGCGGGGGACAACAUUUGGAAACGAAUGCUAAUACCGCAUAAAAACUUUAAACACAAGUUUUAAGUUUGAAAGAUGCAAUUGCAUCACUCAAAGAUGAUCCCGCGUUGUAUUAGCUAGUUGGUGAGGUAAAGGCUCACCAAGGCGAUGAUACAUAGCCGACCUGAGAGGGGGAUCGGCCCCAUUGGGACUGAGACACGGCCCAAACUCCUACGGGAGGCAGCAGUAGGGAAUCUUCGGCAAUGGACGAAAGUCUGACCGAGCAACGCCGCGUGAGUGAAGAAGGUUUUCGGAUCGUAAAACUCUGUUGGUAGAGAAGAACGUUGGUGAGAGUGGAAAGCUCAUCAAGUGACGGUAACUACCCAGAAAGGGACGGCUAACUACGUG